GUUGGAAGAGCGUUGAACUUUCAUCCUUGAAGUCGUCGGUUCAAUUCCUGGA
Molecule: transfer RNA, 52 nt
Filed under: Chattonella subsalsa
Lineage: Eukaryota; Raphidophyceae; Chattonellales; Chattonellaceae
Description: partial tRNA
Source: RNAcentral